Gasterosteus aculeatus aculeatus (three-spined stickleback) is the source of this 1631-nucleotide long non-coding RNA. RefSeq lists it as uncharacterized. Lineage: Eukaryota; Metazoa; Chordata; Actinopteri; Perciformes; Gasterosteidae. The record is from RefSeq and is a predicted model, not a curated record.
UCUCCCCGUAUCCUGCUCCAAAGUGUGAAAGUGAAUUCAGAUAUUUGACCUCAUGAACACGGUCUCACCUGCUUCCACGGUCGUGGUUCUUAGUGGUCUGUUGAACAGGUUUGGAUUUAAAAUGAAACAAAAUCUAUGACUCACACUGCGAUGACUGUUCACUUCUGUUUACGAGCGACACAAUUACUGUUGUUGCCCGUGUUCUACUUUCCGAAUAACAACCGCUGUGUCUGAAUGACUUAUCGCUAUCGGGACCCAUUAGGACGCCCGUCCACUGUUGUUGUGCGUUUAAAUCCCGCUCGCACGAUAAAUCUUUAUGGCGCAUUGUAUAAGUGUGAGUUAGUUCUGGACGUUCGGCCUCCGUCUGCUGCACGGGUGGUGAUAUCUUGCUUCGUAUGACGCACUGCAGCUAAAGUUACUUUCACCAUCUAUGCAAAUACACAUUUAUGUUUUUAGCUGAACUUCUAAUCCGCUCAAACUAGUACACGAUAAUAAAGAAAUCCAUCCACUCAGUACUUCUCUACAUGUGCCGGUACAAAGGGCCACCUGUCUGCCACAAACACAUGGACAGGUACUUGCUGUGACCUACAUGUGGAAAACAGGUACACAGCGGACCUAAAACUAGUGACACAAGGAAGACAAGAGAAGCAGUAUCAAGAAGGGGGAGGAACUUGGCGAGCGUUGGCGGGGAUUCCUCGCCCGUAAAGCUACGUCAGUCAGUGUAUAUAAACCCGUCUGACUAUCAAUAGUUCAAACCUGUUCCUUCUUGUCAAGGCACAACCGCAGCGCUGUGAGAGAACACAGAGAGGCGAAAAAAAACAAGCCGAACCUUCAGCGCUUCACUUCUCUUUUCUGAGCAGACAGAAGCGCGGUGACGAUGGCGGCCCAGGAUCUUGACGCCACAAUUGACGAGUGCGCACACGAGCUCCGUGAGGUCGGCGACGGCCUUUACUGGAGAUUCAGGCUGCUGCAAAUACUCAUCAGGAACUACAAGACCGUAAAUAACAUCAAGUGAGACGGGGCGCCAAGGGCGGACGUGGAAGAGGGAAAUUGGAUUUUUAUUAAACUGGAUGGCAUUCAGAAACGCCGGGGACUCUCGGGGGGGGGGGGCCCUCGACGCCGGAGGCCACAGCGGCGGGGAGGAAGCUGGUGGAAACACCUGGACGGAGACCCCGAGACGCGACCUGUCGGCGGAGCGAGGUCGGCCUGCACCCCGGAGCUUUGCACAGAGAGAGAGUGUGUGUGCGCGCGGCGGGACGCCGGGGAGACCCUCGGGUGAGCGGAUCCGAAGAUGGGACACCGGAUGUCCUCUGCUGAAACACGUGUGCUGUAGACAUGUACGCUGUACAUAUAUGUGAAUGUUUCUGCUCAGAUUGUCGCAUUCAUGUCAGCUGUCGAAUGGAGACUCAGACGCGUGAACUUCCAACUUUGGUGUUGAAUGUUAGCUACGAAUAGUUUGGAUUAUGAGAGGGGGGGGUAAGCCUUUUUCUACAUAACAGACUUCUGCGAUACGUUGUGAUGUAAAGUCAAUACAUGUGGGAACACGGCGUCCGAAACACGGGGAACUAGUCAGUGGAAAGAUGUAAAUCCUGUUUGCUCGUUUAAUAAAAACAAAGUGAGUCGUGCCUCCU